GAAUCUUAGCUUAUCAAAAUUGCGAACGAAAGAUUCGCAAUAUUGCGAAAAGACUUCUCUGUGCAGUUUCUGAGUAGCUCGAGACUUACUCUGCCAGUGCGAUCAGUUCAGUGCUUGUCGUUCCUGGUUUGACGUCACAAACACACCCAGCGUUCGCCCAGACACUCCUCCGUUUCUCCAGCCACUCCAGCGUUUUUCCCAGAAACGGUUGCGUUUUUUCACACACUCCCAUAAAACGGACAGUUUCCGCCCAGAAACACCCACUUCCUGUCAAUCACAUUACGAUCACCAGAACGAAGAAAAAACCUCGUAAUGCCGUGAGUAAAAUACCUACCUGCAUAGCAAAUUUACUUGGCGCAGUCGCACUGCGGACAUUGCGCAUGCGCAUUAGCGACUAAUCGCUCCGUUGCGAGAAAAAAAUAACGAGUGAACAACUCGGAAUGACCCCCAUUGUUAACAUUUUUAAGUAUUAAACAAAAAAACACAACACAGCACAACAACACAAUGAGCAUGCAUAUACUUAUAAUGAACAUGCAUAUACUUACCAGAAAAUACAAAAACAACAGAAAAAAAUAAGUAAAACACAAAAACAAGGCUACUUAGGGCAUACAAAUUACAACAAUUAAUGCUGCCUUGCAAAGAAAAUAUAAAAAAAACAUAAAUAAUAAGCACACUAAAGGCCCAUACACAAUAGGUGACUUUGCCCUCAAAAUCGUUCAUUUUUGCCGCCGUUUUGAAUGAUUUUGAGGUCAAAGUCUCCCAGCACACUCCCGUAUCAUCGCCAGCGAGGUGGACCGUUGGCUGGUUUUUACCAGCAUGUUUGCAGGUGAUGGUUCAUUUUCCAGCCAUCAUCGCUCAGUGUAUAUGGCCGCGAGCGAUGAUGGCUGGAAGAUGAACUAUUUUAUGCCCGCCGGACCCGCCCUGCUCUCGCUCCAAAUCCAACCUGCUCUGGUGCUGCAGUCCCGCCUGCUUCCUCCUGCUUAGCCUGCUCCCAACUGCUUAGCGUGCUCCGUCCAGCAGUGAUUGAAGUGAGUCGCCGGAUCGGCCCUGCUCUCGCCCCAAGUCCCACCUGCUCCGGCGCCGCAUCCCCGCCUACUUCCUCCUGCUCAGCGUGCUCCCUCCAGCAGUGAAGUGAGUCACUGCAUGAAGCUGGCCACCAAUGUUUAGUUCAUGCUUUUUAUUUAAGCCAGUAAUAUAUACAUUGCUGGCACAGGCCAGCAAUGUAUAUAUUACUGGUGUCACUGCCCACCAAUGAUUAUUUAUGCCAGUAAUAUAUACAUUGCUGGCAGAGACCAGCAAUGUAUAUGUUCUGGCACCACUGGCCACCAAUGUUUAUGUAUAAUAUAUACAUAAUAUAUAAAACGCAGGCAGAGUCCCCCUUUUUACACAUUAUGGCAGCAGAGUCCCCCUUUUUACAAUGGCCCAUGCUCCCACCCUUGGAAUUCAAACCCAGCCCAUAAUGUAACUAAAUAGCCUUUCUAAUGAAAGAUUUUCAGCAAAGUCUUUUGCCUCCUGAAAAUCUUUUGCACUUUGGGAAAACAGCUCAGUAUGUAUGCACUGCUUUGGGUGAAAGAUAUAUCUUUCAAAGAUGUUGUCAAAGUCUUUUGAAAUGAAAAUCUCCUAGUGUGUAUUGGCCUUAAGAUAACCCAACACGCCACCCCACAACACAAACCUAUGAGCAUGCAAAUACUUACCCGCAGAUGAACUUGAGAACUGAAAAAAAAAGGCAAAAGGCCACAACUGAGAAAAUGGGCUACUUUGCCAAAAUACAAUAACUAAAAAAUAUGCUUCCUUCAGAAGAAAAAAACAAAAACAUAAUAAGCACACUAAGAUAACCCAACACCCCACUCCACAACACACACCUAUGAGCAUGUACAUACUUACCAGCAGAUAGAUAUACUGUUGUUCCUUUGAUAAUAAAUGUACACCUAUAAAUUACAAAAUUCAGGCCAUCACCACUACAAGCAUCCUACAAUACAUACAAAGACAAAACACCAGAACACCAAAAAGAUAUAAAAUUGUUUGGCCUACACUCUGUGCGUUCACACAACAAAGAAACGCGACGCACCACACAGGGACGUGGUGCAAAUACAUCAGCAUACAACAUAGUUUACACAAUUAUUACAACAAAUAACAACUACACGUCUCUGCAUAACACAUUAUUUUUACAUUACUCCAUGGAAAACUUAAAAACAAUGCAUACUUCUGAACAUCUAAACACAGACAUAUCUUACCACAAAUAAACACUCUCCACCUAUGAAAAUCCGCAAACACACCAACUCCAACUGAUUAACUCCUGGAUGCACCCCCAAACCACGGAUGGCUAGAAAUGCUUAAAUAGUGGUAACAAUCAAAGGAAAUUUACCAAUUGCUUAUGCAUCAUCUGUGGUAAUUUACGCUAAGCAUGCAUACGCAGGUAUAAAAAAAAAACCCUGGACCAUAAGCACAUGCUACCAGCAUCAUGGCGCGUGAUUUUGCUCAGGAAUACAGAAAAAUACAUGCAGGGUAUGCUGCCAUAAAGGCAUAAGAAAUUAGAAUCCAUAAAAGACUGGAUCAGUUGGCACAUGAGCAAGAAGUUGGCUUUGAAGAGGAGACAGGAGCAGAACCCAGUAGUGAAGUAUGGUGUGAGUUCCCUGGCUGAGGAAGAUGUGGACCAAACUGAGGAAGAUUAUGUGCCAACUACCCAAACGCAAGAAUCAGGCCCACACAGUGAAGAGGAAGAUGGAACUAGUUCUCAUGCUACUGCAUCGCAGGCAACAACCACCAUUUACCAGGAUGGAGUUGGGCAUUCUCGUCCCACAAGCCAUUGAGAAGAUUCAUUUUGGCAAUAAGAACAUGGGCGCUGGGACCAAGGACCAUAUCUGGAGGGAGAUCACAGAUGCAGUUAAUGUGGUGGGACGAAUUGUCCGCAUACCCCAAGAAGUCAGGAGAUGUUGGUCUGACUUCAAGUCCCGGCUGAAGCAGAAAAAGUCUGCGCAUUGGAAAGCUUCGAGGGCAACAGGGGGAGAGUCACUCCCUGAGACUGUGGAAUUUACCGACCUAGAGGAGCAAGCGAUGGUCUGUGUGUCAUAUGAGGAGGUGGCAGGUGUGUCCGAAAUGGACAUCGACACACCUGCCCUUGAAUGUCCACAUGCAGAGCCGGCGCAAGCCGCUCAGCAAAGGAAUGCAGUGCAGGGAGGCGCCAAACUGAAGAGGCGCUCAACCUCUCCCUGCUCUGCAUCCUUGCUGCUGCCAGCUGCCGCUGCGCCUGUCACACUGGAUGACAGGUAGCGGCGCUGGCAGCGUGCAGAGCGGCUCCCUCCCCCUCCUCCUCCCCAGAGUGUGUAUUCCUCCCCAGAGAGUGUAUGCAGUGUGCGGCCUCAGCCCACACACUGCGCUGCUGACAUCCCGAUUCCUGAUCUGCUUAAAGGGUGGGGGCAUGGCCUAAUCGCGGGAGCCGUGGCCACGCCCCUUUCGGGUGUUUCUUUUUAAAGUCCUUGCUGCACAGUGCAGGGUGGGUGCAGUGCCCGAUCCCUGAGCCCCCCAGCCAGGAUCAUUUCGAGGGGGGAGUGUGAUCACUGUGAUCACACUCCCCCCACUCACUCAUACAGGAACACACAGUGAGUGGAUCAGUAUUAGCAGCAGCCUCUCUGCCCCACUGCAGCACAGCACCUUCAGCAUGUGCUGUGCUGCCAAGAUGAGAGCUGCUGCUGCUGCCCAGUAAGGUGGGAGUGUAGCGGACCAGGGCCCCCUCCGGGCCCCUCCAUCAGCCCCAGGCCCAAGUAAUUAGUACCCGCUCCCUCCCCCUCGUCACUGACAGCAUACUAAAGAGCCAUUGGAGUAACGGAGCCUGCAUGAAACCGGCGAAGAAGAGAGAGGAGGAGCAGCGCCCGAGCCGGGACCUCCUGCAGCACAGGAGGUGUAGCUCACUGAGGCUGAGGAGGGGGGAAGCAGUGACAGCUCCAGUGUGGGGCAAGAAAGGCCACCAUCCCAGCAACACACUGGCACACUACACCAACCCAGUCUCCCGGAGCUUCUGGGCCAAAUUGUCACCCAUGGAAGUAUUAACACCGACUUCCAUGACCAGAUGCUCCGGGAGGUCCGUGAGCUGUCCUCCCCGGUCCUUGAGCUGUCCUCCACUGUGCAACAAGGCAUGUGUGACAUCUCCUCCUCUGUGGCACAAGGAAUGCAUGACAUCUCGACCACUAUUGGGCAAGGCAUGCAGACGAUCGCAGACCUCCUUGGCCAGAGUCUCAGGGAGGUUACAACACCUGGCUCAUCCCCUAGCCGUGCCCAGGAACAAGAUCCCACUGGGCAAGUCCCUCGAAGAUCCGUGCGCAGACCCAACACAGAGCAACAACCCCUUCAGGCGGGUAAAAAAAGGAGAACAUUUUGAUUUCUCGCCAGAUGCGGUCUUUGUUUCCAGCGCCCAUGUUCUGUUUUCAAAAAUUAAUUUUCUCAAUGGUUUGUGGGACCAGAAUGUCAAACUCCCUGCUGAAUGGGGUUUGGCGCCUUCUCUUUUCUUUCCCUGCCUGUGAGGCAUUAGCCUGUGAACUUGUCCCACCUUCCUCUUCAGUUUGUGGUGUUGAUUGUUGCAUUUGGGUAUUGGGCCCAGAAACUUCCUCAAUUUGCCCCACAUCUUCCUCAGCCACUGAGACCAGUCUCUUGUUGUGUUUGUUGCCCAGUAGAUGUGGGUACUUCACUACUGGGUACUGUCCAGCCCCCUCCCACCCAGCGACCGCCUCUGCCUCAGUGGCGAUCGCUAGGCAACAACGGCCUUCGGCCAUCUGGCAUGCGCAGUUCUGACCUGAUUGCUGCGCUGCGAUAAACUCCAGCGAGCGAUCAGGUCAGAAUGACCCCCACAAUGCAACUUGAUAGAUAACUCAAAGCAAUGUGUCAGCUCUAAGCAAUGUGUACCCAGAAAGAGGGUCUAAAAAAAAACAACAAAAAAAACAGUUGUGUGUAAUGUGUACAAUUGCUUGACAAACAACACGUUGUACAUGUGCAGUACACAUGUAAUAGUUGUAAACAAACAUGUGUGUUGAUUGUGAGUUGCACAUAUCCAGGGAGUGUUAAAAUGCAUACCAUU
This is a long non-coding RNA of Pseudophryne corroboree (corroboree frog), 5068 nucleotides long. RefSeq lists it as uncharacterized. Lineage: Eukaryota; Metazoa; Chordata; Amphibia; Anura; Myobatrachidae. The transcript has 3 exons. The record is from RefSeq and is a predicted model, not a curated record.